Molecule: ribosomal RNA, 468 nt
Filed under: uncultured bacterium
Lineage: Bacteria
Description: partial 16S ribosomal RNA
Rfam family: Bacterial small subunit ribosomal RNA
Source: RNAcentral
GACGAACGCUGGCGGCGUGCUUAACACAUGCAAGUCGAACGGAAAGGCCCUGCUUUUGUGGGGUGCUCGAGUGGCGAACGGGUGAGUAACACGUGAGUAACCUGCCCUUGACUUUGGGAUAACUUCAGGAAACUGGGGCUAAUACCGGAUAGGAGCUCCUGCUGCAUGGUGGGGGUUGGAAAGUUUCGGCGGUUGGGGAUGGACUCGCGGCUUAUCAGCUUGUUGGUGGGGUAGUGGCUUACCAAGGCUUUGACGGGUAGCCGGCCUGAGAGGGUGACCGGGCACAAUGGGGGAGAAAACACGGCAGAGAGCCCGAGGGGGGCAACCAGGGGGGAAUUUGGCACAAGGGGCGGAGGCUGAAGGCGGAAACCCGGGGGGGGGGAGGAGGCCGUUGGGGUGAUAACCACUUUGCGCCGGUGACAAGGCGGGGGGGAGGGGAAGGGUAAAAGAGGCACCGCCUAACUACGU